This 134-nucleotide small RNA is filed under the name Salmonella enterica subsp. enterica serovar Infantis. RNAcentral describes it as "partial RtT sRNA". It matches the Rfam family "RtT RNA", at positions 31 to 130 of the family's 130-position model. Rfam says of the family: This family represents a bacterial cis-regulatory element known as RtT RNA. The exact function of RtT is unknown although it is thought that it may be involved in changing the cellular response in relation to amino acid starvation. Lineage: Bacteria; Pseudomonadati; Pseudomonadota; Gammaproteobacteria; Enterobacterales; Enterobacteriaceae. The record is from RNAcentral.
AUUGGUCGCAGGUUCGAAUCCUGCACGACCCACCAAUUUAACAUCAAACUCAGAUGUUGAACGUGAAGGAUAACGUUGCGUCAGCAACGGCCCGUAGGGCAAGGCGAAGCCGAGUCAUCCUGCACGACCCACCA